GUGGGGAAUAUUGGACAAUGGGCGCAAGCCUGAUCCAGCCAUGCCGCGUGUGUGAAGAAGGCCUUCGGGUUGUAAAGCACUUUUGUCCGGGAAGAAAUCUUCCAGGUUAAUACCCUGGGAGGCUGACGGUACCGGAAGAAUAAGCACCGGCUAACUUCGUGCCAGCAGCCGCGGUAAUACGAAGGGUGCAAGCGUUACGCGGAAUUACUGGGCGUAAAGCGUGCGUAGGUGGUUCGUUAAGUCUGCCGUGAAAGCCCCGGGCUCAACCUGGGAAUGGCGGUGGAUACUGGCGGGCUAGAGUGCGGUAGAGGAUGGCGGAAUUCCCGGUGUAGCGGUGAAAUGCGUAGAGAUCGGGAGGAACAUCCGUGGCGAAGGCGGCCAUCUGGACCAGCACUGACACUGAGGCACGAAAGCGUGGGGAGCAAACAGGAUUAGAAACCCCUGUAGUCC
Molecule: ribosomal RNA, 450 nt
Filed under: uncultured bacterium
Lineage: Bacteria
Description: partial 16S ribosomal RNA
Rfam family: Bacterial small subunit ribosomal RNA
Source: RNAcentral